CUGAGAUUGUGCCACUGCACUCCAGCCACUGCACUCCAGGAAGACCCUCUCAGAAAAAAAAAAAAAAGAAUUUGGCCGUUAUGUGGAGGACUGGAAUUGAGAAGGGCAAGAGCGAGGUAGAAGAGUGGUCUAGGGAGAACAGUUAGGGGCUAUUGCAAUUAUCCAGCAAGAGAUCUUGGACCAGGAUGGCAGCAGUGGAGGUGGUAAAAUGUGGUUGGAUGAAGCGUACGCUUUGAAGGUAUCAACAGGACCAGCUGAUGGAAGGGAGUCAACAGGACUAGCUGAUGGCUGUAAACUGGGGGGUCACUAGCUAUCAGAUGGCAUUUACUUAAAGCCAUGGAAGUAGGUGAGCUCCCUUAUGGAGAGGGAAUAGGAAGGAGGUAGACCAUUCUAUCAAAAUGCUCUUUCUACAGGGCACUUCUCACUGAGAUAUUAUUUAUCUGGGAUUUAUAUUAUUUAUUCAAUUUGUUUUGUGUUUGGUUCUAUUAGAAAAGCUCCAUAGGGGCCGGGCACGUUGGCUUUUGCCUGUAAUCCCAACACUUUGGAAGGCCGAGGCAGGCGGAUUACCUGGGGUCAGGAGUUUGAGACCAGCCUGGCCAACAUGGUGAAACUCUGUCUCUACUAAAAACACAAAAAUUAGCCGGGCGUGGUGGUGCGCCUGUAAUCCCAGAUGCUGAGGAGGAGAAUCGCUUGAACCCGGGAGGUGGAGGUUGCAGUGAGCCGAGAUCGCGCCACUGCACUCCAGCCUGGGCAACAAGAGCGAAACUCCCUCUCAAAAACAAACAAACAAACAAACAAACAAACAAAAAACAAAAAAAAGAAAGAAAGAAAGAAAAGGGCCAGGUGUGGUGGCUCACACCUGUAAUCCCAGCACUUUGGGAGGCUGAGGCAGGCGGAUCACGAGGUCAGGAGAUCGAGACCAUCCUCACCAACACGGUGAAACCCCGUCUCUACUAAAAAUACAAAAAUUAGUCGGGUGUGGUGGCGGGCGCCUGUAGUCCCAGGUACUCCGCAGGCUGAGGCAGGAGAAUCGCUUGAACCCGGGAGGCGGAGGUUGUAGUGAGCCGAGAUUGAGCCACUGCACUCCAGCCUGGGUGACAAAGUGAGACUCCAUCUCAAAAGAAAAAAGCUCCAUAGGAGAAGGAACCUUGUCUCUUCACCACAUAAACUGUGUUUGGAUUCGCAAUCGAGUUGGGAAAAAAAAAUCAGUCUGGAAGAGCCACACCAAACCGCUAACAGCUACUGUCUCUGGGAAUAGAACAAGGAGUUUGGUUGGCGCGAUAUACCGCCCCUGAACCUCUAGCCACAAUAAGGCUUAAUUAAUGACCGGACGACUUGAAAGCGCCUUCCACUGUUUAUCUCUUAAAUCUGCAACGAAAUGCAACAAAAACGCAAGAAAUAAACAAUAGAAGCCAGUCUUACUGCACACUGCAGAAGCCAAUAAACCCCAAAUGUAGCUCAAAACAAGGUGUCACGCAAACUUCUGAUUUUUUUUUGUUUUACACUGAAUCUCUGUCACUCUGACUAGAGGGCAGUGGCGCGAUCUCGGAUCACUACAACCUCCGUCUUCUAGAGUCAAGAGACUCUCCCGCCCCAGGAGUCUCUGCCACUCUGACUAGAGGGCAGUGGCGCGAUCUCGGAUCACUACAACCUCCGUCUUCUAGAGUCAAGAGACUCUCCCGCCCCAGCUUCUCCAAUAGGUGGGAUUGCAAACAGGCACCACCACGCCCGAAUAAGUUUGUGAACAUUUGGUACAAAUAACAAAUGACCAAGUUCCUUGGUUGUAGUUGCCUAACUUUUAAUACUUAAAAAUGUAGCCUCAGGAAAUAAGAGGCCUCAAAAAAUUGAAUAAAAACUCACAACUUUCUCUCCACGGAAAUCUUUAGUAAAAGGCGAAAGAUUUAUGCGCUUUGAAGAGAAACCCGAGUAUAUUCGUGACUUCCGCUUCGAACCUCGCAGGGAGAACUAACACUUAACACACUUAUGGUUGUUGGAUGCCUGCGUGGUACGCACUCCCUAUAUGUAGUUUAUGCACACAGAUGCGUGUAAGAGGCAUCAUGCUCUAAAACAGUGCAGAAAUGCGCGCACAGAGGGAGUGCAAGCAUCUUGAGGGUAUCUUUUCGUGGUGCACCAUGGGUAUGCAAAUCACAGGCGGCUCCGGGCUGUUCCGCGCCACCGGGGAAGCCAUGGGUCACUGAUCUCCUUUGCUCUCCUAUGCUCCUCUCUGCUGGUCCUCCUGGGACCCGCACCCCGUGGGCGGCGCCGGGUGCGGAGUCCUUUGCGGAGCUGGUGUUCGUCCCAGGGGUUAAGGUCCUGUCCCGCCGUCCUUACCCGCAGUAAGCCUCCGGGCUUAGAGAGAGGGACGGGGAAACAGACGGGCACAGACACUCAGGGGCACUGGGACCUCACAGGAGGCACGACCCCACCCCUCCUGGAGGAGAUGGCAUCCGAUCCAAUUCACCUCGAAGGGUGAUAUGGGGUCACAUCAAGGGGAGAACAAACAACUUACGCUGUGUCCUCACUAACUGCUAGCACCUCAGUUUCUGAGCAGUUCCCGCAACUGAUCCACUGGCUGACUGGCCAAAGACACCUCUCGGCUGUCAGGACAACCAACUUACAGAGGCCUUUGCCUUGGAGGUUGCUCUGGAACCUGGCUCCUUUCCCUGGGUCCACAAACCUCCUGAGAAGCUCCCCAGACCCUGUUGACCUCUCUCUGCUUCAACUGGCUGCUUUCCUGAUCUGCCUCCACCUCGCCUUCCACCUGCUGCAUGGCUUUGCCCCUCUGCCUUGCCGUUUCCCGUGCGGGUGAAGCAGGUAGGUGGAGGUGAGUCUGGAGAGACGGGCAGGCUGGAAUAUGGUGGCUCUGAAAGCCACACAGUGGGGUUCUUUUUUUUCUGCUCUCGGUCUCCAGAUUGAACCCAGUAGGAUUUCACACCAACAAAAUUUGUUAUCGUUUUGUAUAGUAAGCACUUAAUCCAGAUGAUGUUACCAAGUAUAUGACAAAAAUCCAGAAUCUGGGGUCUUUUCCACCCAGAACUAGAGAAGCUAAUACCUCAGGUCCUGGCACCAGAGAAGCUCCUUCCAAUAGCUAAUGUUCACUUGCAAACUCCCCACUCUGUCCAAAAAAAAGCACUGAAGUCAUCUGAGAUUAGUUCACAUAGAAUAUAUUUCAUUCUUUAAAAAAUAAAACUUUCAUCAUAGCUA
This 3204-nucleotide long non-coding RNA is filed under the name Homo sapiens (human). RNAcentral describes it as "HSALNT0291918". The record is from RNAcentral. Lineage: Eukaryota; Metazoa; Chordata; Mammalia; Primates; Hominidae.